GGAAUGCAGCUCUAAGCGGGUGGUAAAUUCCAUCUAAAGCUAAAUACCGGCCGGAGACCGAUAGCGCACAAGUAGAGUGAUCGAAAGAUGAAAAGCACUUUGGAAAGAGAGUCAAACAGCACGUGAAAUUGUUGAGAGGGAAGCGCUUGCCCCCAGACCUGCCCGCAGGCGAUCACCCGUGGCUCGUGGCGGGGUACUCGCCCGCGUUCAGGCCAGCACGGGUUCGGGCAGCGGGAGAAAGGGCCCGGGAACGUAGCUCCCUCCGGGGAGCCUUAUAGCCCAGGCGGCCAUGCCGCUCGCCCGGACCGAGGACCGCGCUCCGGCUAGGGUGCUGGCGUAAUGGGGGUCAGCGGCCCGUCUUGAAACACGGACCAAGGAGUCUAACGUCCCCGCGAGUGUUCGGGCGUCAAACCCCGGCGCGGAAUGAAAGUGAACGGAGGUGGGAGCCCUUCCGGGGGCGCACCAUCGACCGAUCCUGAUGUCUUCGGAUGGAUUGAGUAGGAGCGCGGCCGUUGGGACCCGAAAGAUGGUGAACUAUGCCUGGGUAGGGUGAAGCCAGAGGAAACUCUGGUGGAGGCUCGCAGCGGUUCUGACGUGCAAAUCGAUCGUCGAACCUGGGCAUAGGGGCGAAAGACUAAUCGAACCAUCUAGUAGCUGGUUCCUGUCGAAGUUUCCCUCAGGAUAGCAGUCGCGCGGGCGGUUUUAUGAGGUAAAGCGAAUGAUUAGAGGCCUUGGGGACGCAACGUCCUUAACCUAUUCUCAAACUUUAAAUAUGUAAGAAGCCCCUGUUGCUCCGGUGAACGGGGGCAUGCAACGCGGCGCGGCUAGUGGGCCAUUUUUGGUAAGCAGAACUGGCGAUGCGGGAUGAACCGAACGCGGGGUUAAGGUGCCGGAAUGCACGCUCAUCAGACACCACAAAAGAUGUCAAUCCAUCCGGACAGCCGGACGGUGGCCAUGGAAGCCGGAACCCGCUAAGGAGUGGUAACAGCUCACCGGCCGAAUGAAUUGGCUCUGAAAA
RNAcentral lists this ribosomal RNA (1018 nucleotides) under Leptogium pedicellatum. Its description in RNAcentral is "eukaryotic LSU rRNA". It matches the Rfam family "Eukaryotic large subunit ribosomal RNA", at positions 277 to 1318 of the family's 3401-position model. Lineage: Eukaryota; Fungi; Ascomycota; Lecanoromycetes; Peltigerales; Collemataceae. The record is from RNAcentral.